GAUCCAAUUGAACCGCAGGCUUCACCCCUCGUGGUGCUCCCCCGCCAAUUCCUUUAAGUUUCAUACUUGCGUACGUACUUCCCAGGCGGCAGACUUAACGGCUUCCCUGCGGCACUGCAUUGGCCACAAGCCAAUGCAUCACCGAGUCUGCAUCGUUUACAGCUGGGACUACCCGGGUAUCUAAUCCGGUUUGCUCCCCCAGCUUUCAUCCCUCACCGUCGAACGUGUUCUGGUACACCGCCUUCGCCACAGGUGGUCUUCAAUAGAUCAAAGGAUUUUACCCCUUCCUAUCGAGUACCGUGUACCUCUCCCACUCCCUAGCUGCACAGUAUUUUCGGCGGCCUAUACGUUAAGCGCAUAGAUUUAACCGAAAACUUAUGCAACCGGCUACGGAUGCUUUAGGCCCAAUAAACCUCCUGACCACUCGAGGUGCUGGUUUUACCGCGGCGGCUGACACCAGAACUUGCCCACCCCUUAUUCACCAGUGAUUCUACAACUGACAAAAGACUCCUUUAGCAGGAGACACUCGGAUUAACCUUGUCGUGCUUUCGCACAUUGCAAAGGUUUCU
This 569-nucleotide ribosomal RNA is filed under the name uncultured archaeon. RNAcentral's name for it is "partial 16S ribosomal RNA". The record is from RNAcentral.